Molecule: transfer RNA, 84 nt
Filed under: Sulfitobacter alexandrii
Lineage: Bacteria; Pseudomonadati; Pseudomonadota; Alphaproteobacteria; Rhodobacterales; Roseobacteraceae
Description: Sulfitobacter sp. AM1-D1 tRNA-Leu
Rfam family: tRNA
About the family: Transfer RNA (tRNA) molecules are approximately 80 nucleotides in length.
Source: RNAcentral
GCCCGAGUGGUGGAAUGGUAGACACGACGGAUUCAAAAUCCGUUGCCGCAAGGCGUGCCGGUUCGAGCCCGGCCUCGGGUACCA